Molecule: ribosomal RNA, 253 nt
Filed under: uncultured bacterium
Lineage: Bacteria
Description: partial 16S ribosomal RNA
Rfam family: Bacterial small subunit ribosomal RNA
Source: RNAcentral
UACGGAGGGAGCUAGCGUUGUUCGGAAUUAUUGGGCGUAAAGAGCUCGUAGGCGGCUCGGUAAGUCAGGUGUCAAAUCCUCAGGCUCAACCUGGGGCUCCACCUGAUACUGCUGUGGCUAGAGUCCGGUAGGGGAGCGUGGAAUUCCUGGUGUAGCGGUGAAAUGCGCAGAUAUCAGGAGGAACACCAGCGGCGAAGGCGGCGCUCUGGGCCGGAACUGACGCUGAGGAGCGAAAGCGUGGGUAGCAAACAGG